UUUUCAGGAAAUAAAGAGAAUUCUUUGUUAUCGAUUUUCUUUGAAAAGGUGGUUCAAUAUCAGUUCAUCUUGAAAUUCUUGAAAAUAUCCGUCAACAAUUAUAUAUAUGAUAAUGCAUACCUACUUAUUGCUUUUUUGGCUUUCAGAUGAUUUGUUCAGUUUAUCUUUGAUGGUUUUACUCUGAAUGAAGCAAAACCAUUCGAUCGUCUUCAAUUGUAAAACUAUCAAUUAGUGUGCUCAAUACUUUAUUUUAGAUAAUAUCACUAACUCUAGCCAAAUCUAGGAGGUUUCAAAUGCUCUAGAAUAGAGUACUCCACAGAUAUUUUGGAGCAUGAAACAUGUACCUAUGUUAUCGACUGUGGAAGAAGAAUUCAAAUUGGAGAGGUUUGAGCAGCAUCUAGCAGAGGAGAAGAAGGAUCUGAAACGGGUUGAACCAAUUGACUACAAAGAUUCUUCUGUAAGAUUUACUUUCGGGAACCCUCCAAGGUUUGAUGUGUUUAGACCAUCCUACCAAAGCUAAUGAUCUCAAGGUUCUGGAGAACUUGAAUUACCACAAGGUUACCAAACCUAGUUGAUUUGAAGAAUCUUAUCUUAGCAUUUAGAGACAUGCAUCUCCAGAUCUCUUUCAUUCAAUCAAUCUUCACACAUUCACAUAAGAUUACGUAAUUAAGGUUCAAGAUAUUUCACAACAAUUGCAAUAGUUACAAAUCUUAACCGUCCUAUAUAUGCAUUCUUAAAUCAACAUGUUCAGUGCAUAAUAAUGCUACAACUUGACCAGAUCGGCGUUUUUUUCCGAUCCGGCUAUGAGGUUGAUUCCCAACCCUAUUCCUCCUUGCAUUCUUGCCUUUUAAAUUUGAUAAAUCCAAUAAAUUUAUUUUCAAUCGAUUCAACCAGUUUUUAGUCUUAAAGUUGUGCUCAAAGCAUUUAAAUUUUACCAUUUUUUCUCAUAAUUAAAAUGACCAUCUAUUUGUAGAGUGCCAUGUACCAUUUAGCCCUUUUUGGUUUAAUAAUGAGAAAGAUAUCUAGGUCUUUCAGUUUUUGAAUUUUACCUCACAAAUCAACAAGUGAUUUUUUUUAUAGAGAACCACAAUCAGAAAUAAUUUUGGUUUUGAGAUAGCAAAUACAAAUAUAAUUCAUUUUGAUCAUACUAAGGUUUUAAGAUUACUUUAAAAUCAAGUCAUGUUAGUUCUCAUUUGGUGAUAAGUAUAAAUCAAUAAUCAGUAUUUAGAAUUUGAGAUUUUAAAGUUUUACAGUUUUAAAAUGUUGUCUUUCUCUACCUUUUUAUUUUCGAAUACAUGGUUCAAUUUUAGAUAGCUUAUAUCUGGGUUAUGAACAAACACUUAAUAAGUAAAAGCCGUUUCAGAAAAAGUUUAUUAUUUAUAUUUUCUGGUGCAAAGUAUCAUGAUCAUUAAGUUAUACCUGGUUUUAAAUUUUUCCUAUAUGUUUUUAUACCACCGUCUUUCUA
Eurytemora carolleeae is the source of this 1465-nucleotide long non-coding RNA. RefSeq lists it as uncharacterized. The transcript is spliced from 3 exons. The record is from RefSeq and is a predicted model, not a curated record. NCBI's taxonomy places the organism in Eukaryota, Metazoa, Arthropoda, Copepoda, Calanoida, Temoridae.